GCUAAGAUGGCAGAGCCCGGAAAUUGCAAAAGGCCUAAGCCCUUUCAACAGAGGUUCAAUUCCUCUUCUUAACC
Molecule: transfer RNA, 74 nt
Filed under: Inegocia japonica (rusty flathead)
Lineage: Eukaryota; Metazoa; Chordata; Actinopteri; Perciformes; Platycephalidae
Description: tRNA-Leu
Rfam family: tRNA
About the family: Transfer RNA (tRNA) molecules are approximately 80 nucleotides in length. Their secondary structure includes four short double-helical elements and three loops (D, anti-codon, and T loops).
Source: RNAcentral